AACCAUCAACCCCUCCGAGGUUUUCACAACCUUGCGAGAGGCUUGGAAUUGAGGGACCUUGCCGGAUUCGUCAAGAGUCGGGCUCCCUCGAAAGUCAUCGGCUUGUGAUAUCCCCGAUGCUGAAUGGCGUGAUAGGCAAUAUCUACGUCUGGAGCUUGAAGGGUGCACGAACGAGCCUUUCAUUUGCAGGCCUUGCCCCUCUUUCGGGGUGAACCUCUCUUUCU
This 224-nucleotide unclassified non-coding RNA is filed under the name uncultured fungus. RNAcentral describes it as "sequence contains ITS2". Lineage: Eukaryota; Fungi. The record is from RNAcentral.